RNAcentral lists this ribosomal RNA (798 nucleotides) under uncultured bacterium. RNAcentral's name for it is "bacterial SSU rRNA". It matches the Rfam family "Bacterial small subunit ribosomal RNA", at positions 8 to 796 of the family's 1533-position model. The record is from RNAcentral.
AGAGUUUGAUCAUGGCUCAGAACGAACGCUGGCGGCGCGUCUUAAGCAUGCAAGUCGAACGGCAGCACGGGGUAACCUGGUGGCGAGUGGCGAACGGGUGAGUAGCGCGUAGGUGAUCUGCCUUUGGGCUGGGGAUAGCCAUUAGAAAUAGUGGGUAAUACCGAAUGAUGUCGUACUGUUAUGACAGAACGAUUAAAGGGGCUACGGCCUCGCCUGGAGAUGAGCCUGCGUCUGAUUAGCUAGUUGGUGAGGUAAGAGCUCACCAAGGCGACGAUCAGUAGCCGGCCUGAGAGGGUGGUCGGCCACACUGGGACUGAGAUACGGCCCAGACCCCUACGGGAGGCAGCAGCUAAGAAUCUUCCGCAAUGGACGAAAGUCUGACGGAGCGACGCCGCGUGGGUGAUGAAGGCGGAAACGUUGUAAAACCCUUUUGUAGACGAGGAAUAAGCUUUGGAGGGAAUGCCAGAGUGAUGACGGUAGUCUGCGAAUAAGCCCCGGCUAAUUACGUGCCAGCAGCCGCGGUAACACGUAUGGGGCGAGCGUUGUUCGGAAUUAUUGGGCGUAAAGGGUGUGCAGGCGGUUAUGUAAGUCUGACGUGAAAGACUCGAGCUUAACUCGAGGAACGCGUUGGAAACUGUGUGACUAGAGUUCUGGAGGGGUAGCUGGAAUUCCAGGUGUAGGGGUGAAAUCUGUAGAUAUCUGGAAGAACAUCAGUGGCGAAGGCGAGCUACUAGCCAAGGACUGACGCUGAGACACGAAAGCGUGGGGAGCAAACAGGAUUAGAUACCCUAGUAGUCC